UGGGGAAUAUUGCACAAUGGGCGCAAGCCUGAUGCAGCCAUGCCGCGUGUAUGAAGAAGGCCUUCGGGUUGUAAAGUACUUUCAGCGGGGAGGAAGGGAGUAAAGUUAAUACCUUUGCUCAUUGACGUUACCCGCAGAAGAAGCACCGGCUAACUCCGUGCCAGCAGCCGCGGUAAUACGGAGGGUGCAAGCGUUAAUCGGAAUUACUGGGCGUAAAGCGCACGCAGGCAGUUUGUUAAGUCAGAUGUGAAAUCCCCGGGCUCAACCUGGGAACUGCAUCUGAUACUGGCAAGCUUGAGUCUCGUAGAGGGGGGUAGAAUUCCAGGUGUAGCGGUGAAAUGCGUAGAGAUCUGGAGGCAUACCGGUGGCGAAGGCGGCCCCCUGGACGAAGACUGACGCUCAGGUGCGAAAGCGUGGGAAGCAAUCAGG
RNAcentral lists this ribosomal RNA (429 nucleotides) under Chloroflexota bacterium. RNAcentral describes it as "Chloroflexi bacterium partial 16S ribosomal RNA". It matches the Rfam family "Bacterial small subunit ribosomal RNA", at positions 355 to 776 of the family's 1533-position model. Lineage: Bacteria; Bacillati; Chloroflexota. The record is from RNAcentral.